GACAAUUUGGUACUACAAAGAACCAAACAUACAACAUAAUCAAAAAACUCAAACCCUAGCCAUUCAAACAACCUUAUCAUUUAUCACUUCCGGCAAACGGCGAUGUCUCAUUUCGGUAGAUCUGGUCCACCGGACAUCAAAGACACAUUCUCUUUGCUAGUUCUCAACGUUACUUUCCGUACCACUGCUGAUGAUUUGUUUCCGUUAUUCGAUAAGUAUGGGAAAGUCGUUGAUGUCUUUAUCCCUAGAGACCGAAGGACUGGAGAUUCUAGGGGUUUUGCAUUUGUGCGCUACAAGUAUCAGGAUGAGGCUCAAAAGGCAGUGGAAAAGCUCGAUGGAAGAGUUGUAGAUGGGCGGGAAAUAAUGGUUCGAUUUGCAAAGUACGGCCCAAAUGCUGAGAGAAUUGACAAAGGUAGAAUUUUGGAGCCUGUAGAUAGGACAAAAGGAAAGUCAAGAAGCCGCAGUCCAAGACCAAGGCAUCGAGAUCAUUAUAGGGACAGGGAUUCUAAAAGGAGAAGCCGAAGUAGAAGUAGGGGGAGGUAUGACCGUGAUCAGUACCGUGGGAGAGACAAAGAUUACCGUCAUCGGAGCAGAAGCCGCAGCCCUGAUUACCACAAAGGUCGUGGGAGAGGUAAAUAUGAUGAGGAGAGGCGCAGCCAAAGUCGGUCUCAUGGAAGUGCCUCCCCUGCACGCCGAAGCCCCUCCCCCGCUCGCCGCAGCCCCAUUCCUCGAAGGAGCCCUUCUCCACGUAGAACAACCCCUUCUAGAGAUGCUAGUCCAGAUGGACGUAAUCACAAGGGCCGGUCUCCUACUCCAAAGAGUAUCUCACCGCGGGGUAGACGUGCUGGUUCUCGCAGCCCCUUGCCGCAUUCUGAUGCUGAUGAUUAAGAAGCAAGGGAGGAGGCCACUGUUGUAAUCUGGCUUUGGUUGAUGCUGCGUAUCAGGACAUUCCCGAAUGAAUGAUCCUUUCAUCUGUAUUCUGCUUGCUAGAACUGAUUGGCCCGACUUAUUUAUAAGCUCCGUGAAAAGUCAGUGUGGCUGAAUCACAAGACGAUGCAGCAGUUGUUGAUGCUGUUAUAUUUGCUGUUGGUUGUAAUUUUGUUGCUGGUUUGUUCGCUGAAUGGCAAGGAGAUGCAGCAGCUGUAGAAUGCUGUUUUUAACUUGGCUGAUAAUAAUUUGUUGCUGGUGACAUACUACUGCUUGUUGGUUGAAUGGCAAGCAGAUGCUGCAGCUGUUGGUGCUGUUUUAGCUUUGCUGUGGUAAUUAUGUUGCCGGUGAGAAAUUACCGUUCUAUACCAAUGUUCAGGAUGCUCAUGAUCGGUAAGGAUAAGAAACUCCUGAAUUACUGAAGUCACGCUAGGUUUAUGCCUUUGGCCUGACAACCAUUUCGUUUCUCUCUUAACUUCAUAUUCUACCCUGGGAAGGUGUUAGUUGUGAUCUCCUUAAUGAAAGAAAUCCAUGCUUAUAUUCUCUCCUUCCUUAUUUGCAUAUGUGCAAAUUAGUUUACACAAAACACGGUAGAACUUUCCUUAUGACAGUAGAAGGGGAAUUGGAGCUUUUGACCUCUGAGGUCGUAAUGGUUUAAGUACCACCACCUUUUAAGUGUGGUUAUGGGAUAGCUAGGGUACUUUCAUUUGAACUCUGGUUGAUUGAUGCAAGUAGGGGGGUAAAUUACUGUGUUAAGGGUGCUCUCUCCCUAUGACUUUGUACCUUUUUGCUAGAUGGAUAUGGAUUUGACAAGCUUGAUGAGGAAGUUGGGAAAGGUAACAAGAUAUUGCUUAGGGAGCAUUUGGUUUUUCCUUGUUGCACAAUACUUUGCAGGGUUGCUUUGUUAUGUUUUUUUUUUUGGGUUGAUGAGGCUGUGAUAAGAAGUUCAAAAGCAAAAAUUAUUUUACCGAUCUAUGCAGUCAUUCCAUCUCCGUGCAUGUUGAAGAUAGUUCUUACAAAUUACUUUGCCGUGCCUGUUGCCAGAGUUCCAUAUUGCAGCAGAAAGAACAAUCCUUCAAUUUCAUUCUGUAUCGACAAACCAAUGGACUGUCCUGCCAAGUGCCAAUCAGCUUUGCGGGUCAUGUAGUGGGGCCAUUUAUUAUUCUUUCUUUAGUCUUUUUUAAAACAAAAUUGUGAUCCGACCAUAAUAACUUGCCAAUUGAACAAUUUCCCUGUAUAAAAUUUACCGCUAAGAAUACUUCAUACCUGGUGUGUACAAUAAACCAAUAAAUGUGUAUUGUGUUUACAUACACUUUUCUUUUAA
Molecule: RNA transcript, 2251 nt
Organism: Lycium barbarum (goji berry)
Lineage: Eukaryota; Viridiplantae; Streptophyta; Magnoliopsida; Solanales; Solanaceae
Gene name: serine/arginine-rich splicing factor SC35-like
Exons: 9
Source: RefSeq, a predicted model, not a curated record